RNAcentral lists this ribosomal RNA (727 nucleotides) under uncultured bacterium. RNAcentral's name for it is "bacterial SSU rRNA". It matches the Rfam family "Bacterial small subunit ribosomal RNA", at positions 789 to 1515 of the family's 1533-position model. The record is from RNAcentral.
GGUAGUCCACGCCGUAAACGAUGUCGACUUGGAGGUUGUGCCCUUGAGGCGUGGCUUCCGGAGCUAACGCGUUAAGUCGACCGCCUGGGGAGUACGGCCGCAAGGUUAAAACUCAAAUGAAUUGACGGGGGCCCGCACAAGCGGUGGAGCAUGUGGUUUAAUUCGAUGCAACGCGAAGAACCUUACCUACUCUUGACAUCCAGAGAACUUAGCAGAGAUGCUUUGGUGCCUUCGGGAACUCUGAGACAGGUGCUGCAUGGCUGUCGUCAGCUCGUGUUGUGAAAUGUUGGGUUAAGUCCCGCAACGAGCGCAACCCUUAUCCUUUGUUGCCAGCGGUUAGGCCGGGAACUCAAAGGAGACUGCCAGUGAUAAACUGGAGGAAGGUGGGGAUGACGUCAAGUCAUCAUGGCCCUUACGAGUAGGGCUACACACGUGCUACAAUGGCGCAUACAAAGAGAAGCGACCUCGCGAGAGCAAGCGGACCUCAUAAAGUGCGUCGUAGUCCGGAUUGGAGUCUGCAACUCGACUCCAUGAAGUCGGAAUCGCUAGUAAUCGUAGAUCAGAAUGCUACGGUGAAUACGUUCCCGGGCCUUGUACACACCGCCCGUCACACCAUGGGAGUGGGUUGCAAAAGAAGUAGGUAGCUUAACCUUCGGGAGGGCGCUUACCACUUUGUGAUUCAUGACUGGGGUGAAGUCGUAACAAGGUAACCGUAGGGGAACCCUGC